GUGCAGUCUGCACACACCUCCAACAGCUAGAGCACUUGCAUAGAACUGAGCACCUUUCUUCAGCUCCUGUGACUGUACAAGCUACCUACCACAGCCCAUAUAGUCUAUGACCAAGAUCAUCUUCUGAAGCCAACCCAUGAUGUGACUCAUCUUCAGCGCGCUGUCCUAUGUGGCUGACAGCAUAAUUUCCUGCUGCUGCCCCUCCGGAAAGAUCAAAUCAGCUACAGGUUGACAAUAUCAGCUCAGGGGGGAGGAUGUGUGGACAGUCUUCAAAGCGGCACCUUCCAGUGAAAACCCUCCAGAAAAUAAGAUCCUCUCUUAGAUGGCUAUUUUAGAGAGGGACUAGGGGUAGGGUUUUUGUACUUUGAAAAUGCAUCCUUCCUUCAAGAUUUCACUGAUUAGUACAGAAUUAGAUAGUUCUGCAUAUGUCUAGCCGGUACUUUUCCUCUGUGCUUGUGAUAAUGACGACUUGUCUGUAAACUCCUUGUUUGGGAGGUGGAUAUAUCUGACAACACCCAAGUACAGAAGGUAACCAGCAGAGUCGAGUGUAUCUGAACUGCAACCUAUUUUGCUUUCAUUAUAUUUAGUAAAAUCUAUGACAAACGUAUUGAACAAAGUUAUAUGUAAUUAAGAAAAUGUUACUUGAUGGAUCACAUUUCAGACUUGAUUGUAGCUUUAUUGCUGUUAUCUAACAAAUCUCUAUUUUCUGGGACAGGACCAUUUACACUGGUAAAAAAUAUCUUUACAGGUUUCUUGACCCAACCUUACAACCACUGCUAAAUGUCAGCGCUAAAGCCAGAGCUAUUACAGACGUCACAGAGCUAUAAAAAGUCAAGGCCUAUAUUCGUCAUACUCUAUUUAGAGAACUAUAGAAUCGUAAAUAAUGCCCAUAAAACAAAAUCACAAUCGACAUAUUUUAUAUUACCAUUCUUUCAUCUAACAGACAAACCCUUCAAAGCGAAUUUGAUACGCUUUACAAAUGUGUCUACGAGCUUCAAGACUCCCACCUUUGGUGAGAAUUAGUGGUUGCUGCACACAAAGAAAAAAAACAAUAUGACGUAACAAUGUUAUAUAGAAAAAUAAACUGUAAAUUAAUGUAUGAAGA
This is a long non-coding RNA of Oncorhynchus gorbuscha (pink salmon), 1105 nucleotides long. RefSeq lists it as uncharacterized. The transcript has 3 exons. The record is from RefSeq and is a predicted model, not a curated record. Lineage: Eukaryota; Metazoa; Chordata; Actinopteri; Salmoniformes; Salmonidae.